GAGGGUAUAACUCAGUGGUAGAGCGUGUGCUUAGCAUGCACAAGGUCCAAGGUUCAAUCCCCAGUGCCUCCA
Molecule: transfer RNA, 72 nt
Filed under: Camelus bactrianus (Bactrian camel)
Lineage: Eukaryota; Metazoa; Chordata; Mammalia; Artiodactyla; Camelidae
Also listed under: 2 other names
Rfam family: tRNA
About the family: Transfer RNA (tRNA) molecules are approximately 80 nucleotides in length. Their secondary structure includes four short double-helical elements and three loops (D, anti-codon, and T loops).
Source: Rfam by way of RNAcentral